RNAcentral lists this transfer RNA (77 nucleotides) under Pseudobdellovibrionaceae bacterium. RNAcentral describes it as "Bdellovibrionaceae bacterium tRNA-Arg". It matches the Rfam family "tRNA". Rfam says of the family: Transfer RNA (tRNA) molecules are approximately 80 nucleotides in length. Their secondary structure includes four short double-helical elements and three loops (D, anti-codon, and T loops). Further hydrogen bonds mediate the characteristic L-shaped molecular structure. tRNAs have two regions of fundamental functional importance: the anti-codon, which is responsible for specific mRNA codon recognition, and the 3' end, to which the tRNAs corresponding amino acid is attached (by aminoacyl-tRNA synthetases). tRNAs cope with the degeneracy of the genetic code in two manners: having more than one tRNA (with a specific anti-codon) for a particular amino acid; and 'wobble' base-pairing, i.e. permitting non-standard base-pairing at the 3rd anti-codon position. The record is from RNAcentral. Lineage: Bacteria; Pseudomonadati; Bdellovibrionota; Bdellovibrionia; Bdellovibrionales; Pseudobdellovibrionaceae. RNAcentral also lists the same sequence under 1 other name.
GCAGCCGUAGCGUAAUUGGAUAACGCAUCUGACUUCGGAUCAGAGGAUUGGGGGUUCGAGUCCUCCCGGCUGCGCCA